CAUCCACUUACAAAAAUUAUUCAUUAACGUUAUACGGGCCUGGCACCCUCUAUGGGUAAAUGGCCUCAUUUAAGAAGGACUUAAAUCGUUAAUUUCUCAUACUGGAAUAUUGAUGUUCCAUACACUGCAUCUCACAUUUGCCAUAUAGACAAAGUGACUUAGUGCUGAACUGAUUUCUUUUCGCUCGCCGCUACUAAGA
Molecule: ribosomal RNA, 199 nt
Filed under: Drosophila flexa
Lineage: Eukaryota; Metazoa; Arthropoda; Insecta; Diptera; Drosophilidae
Description: partial 28S ribosomal RNA
Source: RNAcentral